UACGUAGGGUGCAAGCGUUAUCCGGAAUUAUUGGGCGUAAAGAGCUCGUAGGCGGUUUGUCGCGUCUGCUGUGAAAACUGGGGGCUCAACCCCCAGCCUGCAGUGGGUACGGGCAGACUAGAGUGAUGUAGGGGAGACUGGAAUUCCUGGUGUAGCGGUGAAAUGCGCAGAUAUCAGGAGGAACACCGGUGGCGAAGGCGGCCUGCUGGGCAGUUUUGCUGACACUGAGGCGCGACAGCGUGGGGAGCAAACAGG
This 255-nucleotide ribosomal RNA is filed under the name uncultured bacterium. Its description in RNAcentral is "partial 16S ribosomal RNA". It matches the Rfam family "Bacterial small subunit ribosomal RNA", at positions 524 to 776 of the family's 1533-position model. The record is from RNAcentral.